UUAAGUUCAGCGGGUAGCCCUACCUGAUUUGAGAUCAAACAUUCAAGAAGCUGUCCUCACCGAGGAGAGACAUUUGUGAGCUCCAGCGAACCUCCAUCACUGAAGGUUACCUGGUGGAAAACCACAAGCGUAGAUAGUUAUCACACCUGCGAUGCCACCAAACACUGGCAAGCUGAUUCAUUUGAGAGGAGCCGACCACA
This 200-nucleotide unclassified non-coding RNA is filed under the name Tomentella sp. RNAcentral's name for it is "partial internal transcribed spacer 2". The record is from RNAcentral. Lineage: Eukaryota; Fungi; Basidiomycota; Agaricomycetes; Thelephorales; Thelephoraceae.